GGAAGGGCCAUAGCUCAGUGGUAGAGUAUCUGUCUUGCAUGUAAACGAUCCCAGGUUCAAUCCCUGGCACCUCCA
Molecule: non-coding RNA, 75 nt
Organism: Podarcis lilfordi (Lilford's wall lizard)
Lineage: Eukaryota; Metazoa; Chordata; Lepidosauria; Squamata; Lacertidae
Source: the annotation of a GenBank genome assembly